AGCAGCCGCGGUAAUUCCAGCUCCAAUAGCGUAUAUUAAAGUUGUUGCAGUUAAAAAGCUCGUAGUUGAAUUUCGGGGUUAGUAGAUUGGUCAUGCCUCUGGUAUGUACUGGUCUCACUGAUUCCUCCUUCCUGAUGAACCUUAAUGCCAUUAAUUUGGUGUUUUGGGGAAUUUGGACUGUUACUUUGAAAAAAUUAGAGUGUUUAAAGCAAGCUAACGCUUGAAUACAUUAGCAUGGAAUAAUGAAAUAGGACGUUCGAUCCUAUUUUGUUGGUUUUUAGGAUUGACGUAAUGAUUAAUAGGGAUAGUUGGGGGCAUUAGUAUUCAAUUGUCAGAGGUGAAAUUCUUGGAUUUAUUGAAGACUAACUACUGCGAAAGCAUUUGCCAAGGAUGUUUUCAUUAAUCAAGAACGAAAGUUAGGGGAUCGAAGACGAUCAGAUACCGUCGUAGUCUUAACCAUAAACUAUGCCGACUAGGGAUCGGAUGAUGUUAAUUUUUUAAUGACUCA
This 508-nucleotide ribosomal RNA is filed under the name uncultured glomeraceous AM fungus. Its description in RNAcentral is "SSU rRNA". It matches the Rfam family "Eukaryotic small subunit ribosomal RNA", at positions 569 to 1078 of the family's 1831-position model. The record is from RNAcentral. Lineage: Eukaryota; Fungi; Glomeromycota; Glomeromycetes; Glomerales; Glomeraceae.